Molecule: long non-coding RNA, 291 nt
Organism: Symphalangus syndactylus (siamang)
Lineage: Eukaryota; Metazoa; Chordata; Mammalia; Primates; Hylobatidae
Source: RefSeq, a predicted model, not a curated record
CUCUCCAGCAACAUGGAACUGAUACUCAGUGUAAAACAAUCAGAAUAGAAGAACAGGGACAUUGACCAUGAAUGAAGACAAUCCUGAGAAUACCAAUGAGGGAGGAUGCUACUGGGCAGCUUUCCAGGGGCCAGCAGCACCCAGUGAGGCCAGACAGUUUGUACUGAAAGGAAACAGUUCAUUUUCUUAAACGAAGAAAGAGAUUCUGAGAAGCAGAGAUUCCGAUUCCAAGCAAUCUCCAGAAUACAAUUUCCAGCUACUGGUCUAAAGUAUUUGGCGCUUUUAGCCGAG